This 64-nucleotide non-coding RNA is filed under the name Deltaproteobacteria bacterium. RNAcentral describes it as "c-di-GMP sequence". It matches the Rfam family "c-di-GMP-I riboswitch aptamer", at positions 20 to 87 of the family's 87-position model. From Rfam's summary of the family: GEMM was predicted in a large-scale screen for bacterial structured RNA regulatory elements. The record is from RNAcentral. Lineage: Bacteria; Pseudomonadati; Myxococcota; Myxococcia.
UUCGAAAGGAUAGGACGCAAAGCCACCGGCCCUAAGCAUUUUACAGGGUAGCGGGGUUGCCAAA